Molecule: long non-coding RNA, 2776 nt
Filed under: Homo sapiens (human)
Lineage: Eukaryota; Metazoa; Chordata; Mammalia; Primates; Hominidae
Description: HSALNT0310405
Source: RNAcentral
UAACAGCACUAAGCAGGCAAUGCUGCCACCAUCCCCUUUCCAGACCAGAACCCCAAGACUCAAGAGUGGUGGAAUAAUCAGCUCAGACUCCCAGCUGACAUGUGGUGGCACGUGCUCUGGGGUUCCCGGGGUGCUGUAGGGAGCCGGCGCGCAGCUCUCUCGUCCAGGACACACGAGCAGGAGUGACCUGCGUCCAGAAGGUCCAUCACUAGCCCUGGCCAUGUGCUGAGCACCCAGGCGAUGCCACGUGGAAUCCAGGUGAGACAGUCAGCACCACCUCCAUCUGAUGUGUUAGUCUGAAGGCAGCGUUACGUGUUGCAUCUAUUAGACACCAACCCCACACAGAAAACACUGGAAAUCUGGAUACAGUGACAGACACAUACGGAGGGAAGAAGAUGUGAAGACAGAGAGAAGACCGUCAUCAACAAGCCAUGGAAUGCCAGAGGCCACCAGCAGCUGAGAGAAAGGCCUGCACAGACGCUCCCCACAGCCCUCAGAAGCAGCCAGCCCUGCUGACACCUUGAUCUCAGGCACCAGGAACGGUGAGACAAUACGUUUUUCUUACCCUAAGCCACCCCAUCUGUGGCCCUGUGUUAUGGCAGCCCUAGGAAACGAACACAAUUCCCUAGGCCGUACCCACCCGCUGCCUUGCUUUACACGGCUUUAGAUAUUUGCCACACCCAUGUUUCUUCUGCUUUAUCUAUGAUCAACCUAAAAGUUUUUAAAGCUUCCUCUGGACAUUUAAAGAGAGGUCCUGAGAUCCACUGGGCCUCGGUCACCUGUCCUGUAUGCCUGUCAUCCUGAGGCACUGCACGAGCACCGCACAAUGACAGUCCAAACAGAGACCAGAGCUGGGCAGGCCAAGUCAGCCCAGACCUGCCAGUAAGAAGCUGAGAGUUCCAGAGGCUGGGAAGGGUAGGGAGAAGGUAGGGGCUGGAGAGAUUUGCUAAAGGAUACAAAAUUACAGCCAGGUAGGAAGAGUAAGUUCCAGCACUAUGGUCACCUAGACCACUGUAGGGUGACUGCAGUUAACAAUAAUACACUACACAGUUUCAAACAACAUCCAUAUAUUGGAUGUUCCCAGCACAAAGAAACGAUUAAUGUUUGAUGGAGGCUAACCACCCUGAGCUCAUCACUCUACAUGACACAUGUCGAAACUUCACUAUGUACCCCAUGAAUAUGUACAAUUACUGUCAAUUCAACUAUAUAUGUGUGUGUGUGUGUGUGUGUGUGUGUGUGUGUGUGUGUGUGUGUGUGUGUGUAUUUUAAAAGCUGGAGGGCUAGCUGCCCCCAAAUAUGGUUCAGGAAGCCAGGAAAAAGAGCCCCAUCUUAUGCGCCUACAUACAAAAGGGAAGAAGCUUGUCGGCCGAGUUACCAUCCAAAACCCUUUUGGCUUGGUAGUGUUUGGGGAGGAUGAAAGAAUAAAGCCGCAGAUCUUUUCAUUACUCCUGCAUCUCCUCCUCUCUCUUCUUCAACGCUCGUGCCAACCCCCCAUUCCCACUUUACACCGAGGAAAAGUGGAUUGAGAGGUGGAGGGAUCUGCCUGGGGCCAUGUGGCUGGCAGGUGGCAGAGUAGGGACUUGGGUCCUUGCUCCCCUGCUGCCAAUGCCCGGAGGGUUUCAAAAGCAGCUCAGGUCUGUGGUGCGAGAGGGAAGGCGGCCGCACUGAGUGCUGUCAGAGCAAACGGGCGUCCAUUCUGCUGCUCUCCUGUCAGUGUGGACUCUGUCUCUCUAACUGCGCCAAGGGUUUCCAGUCACUGUGCUCUCAAGAGUGACAGUCAUUAAAUCAGCAUAGCCAGCAUCUCCACAUGCUCCAGCCUUCGAGUUUCUUUUGACUCCCUCCAGCAGCUCAGCUGGAAUGUGCAUCGUGUGUGAGUCUGCCCCUCUCUCUCCUUGAGACUGGAAGGAGCUCCGAGGGCAAAGUGGGUCCCUCCUUUCCUUGGGCACAAUCGGUCCUCAGAUCUGUGCAAGGGACGGAAGACACUUGGGAAACCUGGCGGAUCCGGAACCACAGUGUGCACUUACCCAGCGGCAGCCGCUUAAAGAAAGAUCCCAGACACCAGCCUUAGGAGAGAAACUCUAAGUGAUUUUAGUUAGAGACCUGUCGGAAACGCUGCUGCUGGAAGUCUCCAUCUUUCCAUUCUCCCUAUGGUGGCCCAAAAAGCCAGGUGGCUGGUUUGGCUAGAAUGAGGCGUAAAGUCAGAGCAAACAGGUUCUGAGUGAGUCUGGGGCCAACCCCUGCAACUUUCCCAUAUCCAAUUCCAGCAUUCAGAGACCCUCUUUGCUUGGCAAUGUGUGCAGGCUUUCCAGACCCGUUGCCUCUAGAGAGGCGGGACUCACGGAAAUGCUGGCCAGCAGCGCGGAGCCCGUCCAGGUUGCCCAGAUCCUCAGGUCACGUUUCUGAAUAGCUCAACUCUAUGUAAAUAAGGUACCAGUUUUCUUUAACCAGAACUGUCUACAUGUGUUUUCCAUUAUUAGCUUUAGUUUUUUAAGAAAAACUGAUGUUUGAGAAACAGGUCAUGGCUGAGAACAUGACCGGUAAAGCAUCUCACCUGCCCCCACGUUAGCAACUGUUGCCAGGGAAGUAGUUGUGAGAGCACAGCCAGCAGUGGAUGCCCACCUGCGGCCAUGACCCCCAGAACUUAAUUCAGAUGGGGCAGGAAUCCAUGUGCAUGCUAAGCACUGUUUACAGGCAAAACAGAUGUGUCCCACAUUAGAGUUUUCAAAUGAAUGGAGAUGUUGCUGAGAUUAAUAAAAUUGAAAAGAAUUUAAAAUUC